This 71-nucleotide transfer RNA is filed under the name Ictidomys tridecemlineatus (thirteen-lined ground squirrel). RNAcentral describes it as "Spermophilus tridecemlineatus (thirteen-lined ground squirrel) tRNA". It matches the Rfam family "tRNA". From Rfam's summary of the family: Transfer RNA (tRNA) molecules are approximately 80 nucleotides in length. Their secondary structure includes four short double-helical elements and three loops (D, anti-codon, and T loops). Further hydrogen bonds mediate the characteristic L-shaped molecular structure. tRNAs have two regions of fundamental functional importance: the anti-codon, which is responsible for specific mRNA codon recognition, and the 3' end, to which the tRNAs corresponding amino acid is attached (by aminoacyl-tRNA synthetases). tRNAs cope with the degeneracy of the genetic code in two manners: having more than one tRNA (with a specific anti-codon) for a particular amino acid; and 'wobble' base-pairing, i.e. permitting non-standard base-pairing at the 3rd anti-codon position. The record is from Rfam by way of RNAcentral. Lineage: Eukaryota; Metazoa; Chordata; Mammalia; Rodentia; Sciuridae.
GGGGAUAUAGCUCAGUGGUAGAGCAUGCGCGUAGCAUCCAUAAGGCCCUGGGUUCAAUUCCCAGUGCCCCA